RNAcentral lists this ribosomal RNA (442 nucleotides) under uncultured bacterium. RNAcentral's name for it is "partial 16S ribosomal RNA". It matches the Rfam family "Bacterial small subunit ribosomal RNA", at positions 338 to 795 of the family's 1533-position model. The record is from RNAcentral.
CCUACGGGUGGCAGCAGUGGGGAAUAUUGGGCAAUGGGCGCAAGCCUGACCCAGCAACGCCGCGUGAAGGAAGAAGGCUUUCGGGUUGUAAACUUCUUUUGACCGGGAAGAGCAGAAGACGGUACCUGUCGAAUAAGCCACGGCUAACUACGUGCCAGCAGCCGCGGUAAUACGUAGGUGGCAAGCGUUGUCCGGAUUUACUGGUGGUAAAGGGCGUGUAGCCGGGCUGAAAAGUCAGAUGUGAAAUCCGGGGGCUCAACCCCCGAACUGCAUUUGAAACUGUUGGGCUUGAGUAUCGGAGAGGCAGGCGGAAUUCCUAGUGUAGCGGUGAAAUGCGUAGAUAUUAGGAGGAACACCAGUGGCGAAGGCAGCCUGCUGGACGACAACUGACGGUGAGGCGCGAAAGCGUGGGGAGCAAACAGGAUUAGAUACCCUUGUAGUC